RNAcentral lists this ribosomal RNA (877 nucleotides) under Cutibacterium acnes. RNAcentral describes it as "partial 16S ribosomal RNA". The stretch from base 140 to 877 matches the Rfam family "Bacterial large subunit ribosomal RNA", at positions 1 to 403 of the family's 2925-position model. The record is from RNAcentral. Lineage: Bacteria; Bacillati; Actinomycetota; Actinomycetes; Propionibacteriales; Propionibacteriaceae.
GGGGUAUUCGUGUGUGGUGGCCUGCGCGGCGCUGUGUUGCGGGCGUGUGGGCGUGGUGUGGUGUUCGUGUGGUGGUUGAGAACUGUAUAGUGGAUGCGAGUAUCUUUAUUGUUGUAUGUGUUUGUGCGACGUGGUGUUGUGCAAAGUUGUGUAGUGCGAUCGGUGGAUGCCUUGGCACCAAGAGCCGAUGAAGGACGUUGUGACCUGCGAUAAGCCCUGGGGAGUUGGUGAGCGAGCUGUGAUCCGGGGGUGUCCGAAUGGGGAAACCUGGAAUGUCCGGAGUAGUGUCCGGUGGCCCUGCCCUGAAUGUAUAGGGGUGUGGGUGGUAACGCGGGGAAGUGAAACAUCUUAGUACCCGUAGGAAGAGAAAACAAGUGUGAUACCGUGAGUACCGGCGAACGAACAACGACACCUCGAUCCUCAAGGAGUUGGUGGAGACCCCGUUCUUGUGAGGCAUUUCGUCGUACACCUUGCGUGCACCAGAAACUUGACCUCUCCUGACAAGGUCCUCGACGAUGAAAUUGGAGCGACACGUAUCUGUGUCGAAACCAGUUUUAAUGAUGCAAGCAUCAACACGUCGUGUGUCAGAAAUGUCGCCGGUGACGGUUGUCGGAGCUGCCGUAAGUGGCAAGAGUUCGUGAGCGGACUUCAUUAGAGUUGCAUAAAGUUUCAUAGCCUGCUUUAUUGUAAUAAGUAUGGCAUUAUAAAAAAGCAUUGCUCAUCAAUUUGUUGCAUCGAACAGGUCACUAUCAGUCAUAAUAAAAUCAUUAUUUGGGGUCUGAGAUCCAUGCUAGCGUUACGCUAGAGUAGGGACUGUCAAGCAUCAAAUAAAACGAAAGGCUCAUCGGAGACUGGCCUUUCGUUUUAUCUGUGUUUG